CCUACGGGGGGCAGCAGUGAGGAAUAUUGGUCAAUGGCCGGUAGGCUGAACCAGCCAAGUAGCGUGAAGGACGACGGCCCUAUGCGUUGUAAACUUCUUUUAUCAAGGGAUAAAAUGCGGCACGAGUGCCUCAUUGCGUGUACUUGAUGAAUAAGGAUCGGCUAACUCCGUGCCAGCAGCCGCGGUAAUACGGAGGAUUCGAGCGUUAUCCGGAUUUAUUGGGUUUAAAGGGAGCGUAGGGGGGUUGUUAAGUCAGUGGUGAAAGUCUGCGGAUCAACCGCAAGAUUGCAGUUGAUACUGGCAGUCUUGAGUAGAGUAGAGGUAGGCGGAAUUCGUGGUGUAGCGGUGAAAUGCUUAGAUAUUACGAAGAACUCCGAUUGCGAAGGCAGCUUACUGGACGGUAUCUGACGCUGAUGCUCGAAAGUGUGGGUAUCAAACAGGAUUAGAUACCCGAGUAGUC
This 460-nucleotide ribosomal RNA is filed under the name uncultured bacterium. Its description in RNAcentral is "partial 16S ribosomal RNA". It matches the Rfam family "Bacterial small subunit ribosomal RNA", at positions 338 to 795 of the family's 1533-position model. The record is from RNAcentral.